This 421-nucleotide ribosomal RNA is filed under the name Peribacillus frigoritolerans. RNAcentral describes it as "bacterial SSU rRNA". It matches the Rfam family "Bacterial small subunit ribosomal RNA", at positions 770 to 1187 of the family's 1533-position model. The record is from RNAcentral. Lineage: Bacteria; Bacillati; Bacillota; Bacilli; Caryophanales; Bacillaceae.
UAACAGGAUUUUGAUACCCUGGUAGUCCACGCCGUAAACGAUGAGUGCUAAGUGUUAGAGGGUUUCCGCCCUUUAGUGCUGCAGCUAACGCAUUAAGCACUCCGCCUGGGGAGUACGGCCGCAAGGCUGAAACUCAAAGGAAUUGACGGGGGCCCGCACAAGCGGUGGAGCAUGUGGUUUAAUUCGAAGCAACGCGAAGAACCUUACCAGGUCUUGACAUCCUCUGACAACCCUAGAGAUAGGGCUUUCCCCUUCGGGGGACAGAGUGACAGGUGGUGCAUGGUUGUCGUCAGCUCGUGUCGUGAGAUGUUGGGUUAAGUCCCGCAACGAGCGCAACCCUUGAUCUUAGUUGCCAGCAUUCAGUUGGGCACUCUAAGGUGACUGCCGGUGACAAACCGGAGGAAGGUGGGGGAUGACGUAA